Molecule: small RNA, 2179 nt
Filed under: Pongo abelii (Sumatran orangutan)
Lineage: Eukaryota; Metazoa; Chordata; Mammalia; Primates; Hominidae
Description: processed transcript
Source: RNAcentral
GGAGCUGGGAUCAUGUCAGCCUCAUUCACUGCAUUUAUAUGUUGGCUGAAUGCAUUGGAAACUUCACCAGCCACAAAAACCUACAAAAGAAGGUAAAUUACUGUCUUUAAAUAUUUAAAAAAAAAACAAGAUCCAUGAGUGGGCAUCGAUCAACAAGGAAAAGAUGUGGAGAUUCUCACCCGGAGUCCCCAGUGGGCUUCGGGCAUAUGAGUACUACAGGAUGUGUAUUAAAUAAAUUGUUUCAGUUACCAACACCACCAUUGUCAAGACACCAACUAAAGCGGCUAGAAGAACACAGAUAUCAAAGUGCUGGACGGUCCCUGCUUGAGCCCUUGAUGCAAGGGUAUUGGGAGUGGCUCGUUAGAAGAGUUCCCUCCUGGAUUGCCCCAAAUCUCAUCACCAUCAUUGGACUGUCAAUAAACAUCUGUACAACUAUUUUAUUAGUCUUCUACUGCCCUACAGCUACAGAGCAGGCACCUCUGUGGGCAUAUAUUGCUUGUGCCUGUGGCCUUUUCAUUUACCAGUCUUUGGAUGCUAUUGAUGGGAAACAGGCAAGAAGAACCAAUAGUAGUUCUCCUCUGGGAGAACUUUUUGAUCAUGGUUGUGAUUCACUAUCAACAGUUUUUGUGGUUCUUGGAACUUGUAUUGCAGUGCAGCUGGGGACAAACCCUGAUUGGAUGUUUUUUUGUUGUUUUGCGGGGACAUUUAUGUUCUAUUGUGCGCACUGGCAAACGUAUGUUUCUGGAACAUUGCGAUUUGGAAUAAUUGAUGUGACUGAGGUGCAAAUCUUCAUAAUAAUCAUGCAUUUGCUGGCAGUGAUUGGAGGACCACCUUUUUGGCAAUCUAUGAUUCCAGUGCUGAAUAUUCAAAUGAAAAUUUUUCCUGCACUUUGUACUGUAGCAGGGACCAUAUUUUCCUGUACAAAUUACUUCCGUGUAAUCUUCACAGGUGGUGUUGGCAAAAAUGGAUCAACAAUAGCAGGAACAAGUGUCCUUUCUCCUUUUCUCCAUAUUGGAUCAGUGAUUACAUUAGCUGCAAUGAUCUACAAGAAAUCUGCAGUUCAGCUUUUUGAAAAGCAUCCCUGUCUUUAUAUACUGACAUUUGGUUUUGUGUCUGCUAAAAUCACUAAUAAGCUUGUGGUUGCACACAUGACGAAAAGUGAAAUGCAUUUGCAUGACACAGCAUUCAUAGGUCCGGCACUUUUGUUUCUGGACCAGUAUUUUAACAGCUUUAUUGAUGAAUAUAUUGUACUUUGGAUUGCCCUGGUUUUCUCUUUCUUUGAUUUGAUCCGCUACUGUGUCAGUGUUUGCAAUCAGAUUGCGUCUCACCUGCACAUACAUGUCUUCAGAAUCAAGGUCUCUACAGCUCAUUCUAAUCAUCAUUAAUGAUGUAAUUGGUAUAUAGGAACACCAUGUUUUCUGCAGGAAAGAAUCUGAACAUAUUAAGGAGAAUGGGGGUGGAUAAGAACAAAUAUAAUUUAUAAUAAUCAAUGUUGUAUAACUUUUAUUCUUUAUUAUUGGUAACACUCCCUAACUAUCCUGUGUGAGAAUGGGAAUUUCAAGUCCCAUCUUGUAAAUUGUAUAUGUUGUCAUGCAGGGUUUGGGCCAAGAAAGCAUGUAGAAAAAAAUGCCAUGUGAUUGUAAUUAUCCUGGAUUCAGAAUAAUAUUGUGAUGGGGAGCCAGAUCCGCAGUGGUGGAGAGUUCUAAUGUUGACUGUUUGCAGGCCAAAAGAUGAUUGCUUUAUAAUUUUAACAAAUGAUUGUCUUUUAGUAACAUCCUUGUUUAGUGUCUUCUCAAGCUUUCUUUACUAAGGAAUUCAGCUUGUGACACAGAUACAUCCCACUAGCUUGUGAGGUGGAACUAGUAGUAAAGACCCUGAAUUUGGAUUGAAAGGUUUCCUAUCUUUACAUUGUUGAGGAAGUCCUUUUUUUUUUUUUUUUUUUUUUUUUUUAAUUGCUCAAGAAAUGAUUCUCUCACAGGCUUGGGAAAUCCUGUUAGCAUGCAGAAUAAUGUGGUAACUUUGUCAAUUUCCCAUUUUAUUUUUUUAAAUAAAUAUAUGAUCUGAAAGCCAACUUUUUCUCAGUUUUAUUCAGUGGAAAGAUAAACUAAGUUUUAAUGUUAUUUUUUUAAAUUUAAGCAAAAUUUAUUUCUGUUCUUUAAUAAGAAAAUUUGGUCCACUG